This 253-nucleotide ribosomal RNA is filed under the name uncultured bacterium. RNAcentral's name for it is "partial 16S ribosomal RNA". It matches the Rfam family "Bacterial small subunit ribosomal RNA", at positions 524 to 776 of the family's 1533-position model. The record is from RNAcentral.
GACAGAGGCCUCAAGCGUUAGGCGGAAUCACUGGGCUUAAAGCGUGUGUAGGCGGAUCGUUAAGGGCCUUGUGAAAUCCCACGGCUCAACCGUGGAACUGCUGGGCAUACUGGCGGUCUUGGGCCAUUCAGGGGCGACUGGAACAAGCGGUGGAGCGGUGAAAUGCGUAGAUAUCGCUCGGAACGCCGAAGGUGAAAACAGGUCGCUGGGGAUGUGCCGACGCUGAGACACGAAAGCCAGGGGAGCAAACGGG